This is an RNA transcript of Leptopilina heterotoma, 913 nucleotides long. RefSeq lists it as uncharacterized. Lineage: Eukaryota; Metazoa; Arthropoda; Insecta; Hymenoptera; Figitidae. The transcript has 3 exons. The record is from RefSeq and is a predicted model, not a curated record.
CUUAAGGUUUAAAAUAAAUAUUUGAUUAAGAUUUUAUCUUUAUUAUUAUUGAAGAUACAAAACUUUUUGUAAUGCCCUUGCAUGGCGUAGGGUGGACAAAUCCUUUUGAGCGGCCCUGUAUGAGUGCAAAAUUUCUGCAGUACUGCAAGCAUUUUGUUAUCUGGGUAUCACGACAACGUAAGUCUUCUAAGUAAUCGUAAUUUAAAAAAUUUUUUAAGGAUACCACGUCUAUUCUUUUUUAAUUUCUUAUCAAGGUUAAUAAAAUUAUUAACAAAAUGACAAAUUGCAAAUCACUGUGCAUUUAUUUCGACAUUUUCUACAUUCUGUCAGUAUCCAUUAAAAAUGCAAUCUCUAUGGAUUCAAGCGAAUACAUGAGAAAGAAACGUAGUCUAACAGAAUUCGAAGCCUCGAUAAACAGAGUUCUAGAAUGUUACAAGGAGGAAGAAGGGUGCCGCCGACAGCUUCAGGCGGUGAUUUUAUUUUAUAAUUUGAAUUAAUGCCCUAGAAAGAAGUUUUGAUUGAUCCCAAUGCUGUUGAUGGUAUUGUUGAAAAUUUUUAUGGAAAUCCACGUAUAAUUUUAGAACAGAUACUGAUUCACAUUUUUGGUGAAGAUAAUUUAUGGAAACUGUCGAUAAAAGAAGAACCUCAUUCAUUUAAAACGAUAUACCUAGAAACACUAUGAUUACCAUGAUUGAUUUUACUGAUGAACAUGCGAGAUUUAAGAAAAAGUAUUUUGAAUACGUAGACUUGGUAAAAGAUGUAUUAAAUAAAUAUCGAAGAAAGAGUGAAUAAGGCAAACAAUUUCUUCAGGGGUCCAAUGUGACGGAUAAUUUUUAAAAAAGUUUUAAUUCACUGAAUUCGCUUGAAAAUCGUUACACGGUGAUUUUCAAAAUUGAAAAUGGCGGAUCCAAUA